UGUGCUUAGAGUGAAGUUUGAAUUAGAUGGUUCCAUUGGCUCUUAUCUUUUACAGACUUUGAAACUGAACUUCACUUUUCUAGAGAUUUGGAAUUCAGGAUUGGGGUUGACAGACUUUGAAACCCUUCACCCAGUGUCUAUCAAAUUCCACUCUUCUUUGGUGUAAUAUCUUUGCAUACUUAUUCACUCUUCUAUGCUUUUUAUUGAAUUAAUGUAUUAGAAGUUUAUUAAUGAAAUUGGGAUUUUACA
Molecule: unclassified non-coding RNA, 249 nt
Filed under: Hevea brasiliensis (rubber tree)
Lineage: Eukaryota; Viridiplantae; Streptophyta; Magnoliopsida; Malpighiales; Euphorbiaceae
Source: RNAcentral